RNAcentral lists this ribosomal RNA (379 nucleotides) under uncultured Microcystis sp. RNAcentral describes it as "bacterial SSU rRNA". It matches the Rfam family "Bacterial small subunit ribosomal RNA", at positions 196 to 593 of the family's 1533-position model. Lineage: Bacteria; Bacillati; Cyanobacteriota; Cyanophyceae; Chroococcales; Microcystaceae. The record is from RNAcentral.
CAAGGUGAAACCUAAUUGGCCUGAAGAAGAGCUUGCGUCUGAUUAGCUAGUUGGUGGGGUAAAGGCCUACCAAGGCGACGAUCAGUAGCUGGUCUGAGAGGAUGAGCAGCCACACUGGGACUGAGACACGGCCCAGACUCCUACGGGAGGCAGCAGUGGGGAAUUUUCCGCAAUGGGCGAAAGCCUGACGGAGCAACGCCGCGUGAGGGAGGAAGGUCUUUGGAUUGUAAACCUCUUUUCUCAAGGAAGAAGUUCUGACGGUACUUGAGGAAUCAGCCUCGGCUAACUCCGUGCCAGCAGCCGCGGUAAUACGGGGAAGGCAAGCGUUAUCCGGAAUUAUUGGGCGUAAAGCGUCCGCAGGUGGUCAGCCAAGUCUGCC